GCCGGUGUGGCGGAAUUGGUAGACGCGCCAGACUCAAAAUCUGGUUACCGCAAGGUAGUGUGGGUUCGAUUCCCUCCACCGGCACCA
This 87-nucleotide transfer RNA is filed under the name Pseudomonadota bacterium. RNAcentral describes it as "Proteobacteria bacterium (activated sludge metagenome) tRNA-Leu". It matches the Rfam family "tRNA". Rfam says of the family: Transfer RNA (tRNA) molecules are approximately 80 nucleotides in length. Their secondary structure includes four short double-helical elements and three loops (D, anti-codon, and T loops). The record is from RNAcentral. RNAcentral also lists the same sequence under 3 other names. Lineage: Bacteria; Pseudomonadati; Pseudomonadota.